UCUGGUUAAACGAUGUAUAAAGGAGGAAAAAAUUGUAGAUAUUGCAUUACGAUGCUUUCUACCUAAUAGCACGUGGAUAUGUUUACAUAUUUAGACUUGACCCAGUAUGACCCGUACCUUGUAGGUCACCGCCGUCGUUUAAACACCAGACUACAGUCGUGUAUAAGACAAUAAAAUGCUUAAGCCUGUACUAUUUGUGUGAAGUAAAUGUGUUUUUUCUGUACAUUUAAAUUGUUUUACCUGAUAGCAAGGACGUAUAUCUAUCCGUUUCCUUCUCAAUUCACUUUGUCAUUUUCUUAGAGCUUCUUCAAAACAUACGUAUUACUGCGCCCGGAAGUGAAAAAAUAUUAGAAAUCCUCGUAAAAUAAUGCUAUUUUCAAUUUUGUGGAAUCCAUUUUGUUAUAUUUAUUAUAUAAAGAUAAAAAAGUAACGAUUAAUUAUGAAUUUGCAUAUCAUUAUACGGAACGUUUAUGGACUAUUUUUCCAUAGCUGUAAGUCGGUCAUUUUGGCGGGAAAUCAUGUACACAUACACACG
This 535-nucleotide long non-coding RNA is filed under the name Mytilus galloprovincialis (Mediterranean mussel). The record is from RNAcentral. Lineage: Eukaryota; Metazoa; Mollusca; Bivalvia; Mytilida; Mytilidae.